UACGGAGGGAGCAAGCGUUGUUCGGAUUUACUGGGCGUAAAGGGCGCGUAGGCGGCCAGCACAAGUCAGUGUUGAAAUCUCCGAGCUUAACUCGGAAAGGUCAACUGAUACUGUGCGGCUAGAGUGCGGAAGGGGCAACUGGAAUUCUUGGUGUAGCGGUGAAAUGCGUAGAUAUCAGGAGGAACACCUGCGGCGAAGGCGGGUUGCUGGGCCGACACUGACGCUGAGGCGCGAAAGCGAGGGGAGCGAACGGG
This 254-nucleotide ribosomal RNA is filed under the name uncultured bacterium. Its description in RNAcentral is "partial 16S ribosomal RNA". It matches the Rfam family "Bacterial small subunit ribosomal RNA", at positions 524 to 776 of the family's 1533-position model. The record is from RNAcentral.